RNAcentral lists this ribosomal RNA (529 nucleotides) under uncultured Glomeromycotina. RNAcentral's name for it is "SSU rRNA". It matches the Rfam family "Eukaryotic small subunit ribosomal RNA", at positions 569 to 1092 of the family's 1831-position model. Lineage: Eukaryota; Fungi; Glomeromycota. The record is from RNAcentral.
AGCAGCCGCGGUAAUUCCAGCUCCAAUAGCGUAUAUUAAAGUUGUUGCAGUUAAAAAGCUCGUAGUUGAAUUUCGGGAUUGGCGCAUCGGUCGUGCCUCACGGGGUAUGAACUGGUGCAGUCAAUUUCUCACCUUCUGGAGAACCGCGAUGUCCUUAAUUGGAUGCCGCGGGGAACCAGGACCUUUACUUUGAAAAAAUUAGAGUGUUUAAAGCAGGCAUUUUUGCUUGAAUACAUUAGCAUGGAAUAAUAAAAUAGGACGGCAUGGUUCUAUUUUGUUGGUUUCUAGGACCACCGUAAUGAUUAAUAGGGAUAGUUGGGGGCAUUAGUAUUCAAUUGUCAGAGGUGAAAUUCUUGGAUUUAUUGAAGACUAACUACUGCGAAAGCAUUUGCCAAGGAUGUUUUCAUUAAUCAAGAACGAAAGUUAGGGGAUCGAAGACGAUCAGAUACCGUCGUAGUCUUAACCAUAAACUAUGCCGACUAGGGAUCGGAUGAUGUUAAUUUUUUAAUGACUCAUUCGGCGCCUUACG